RNAcentral lists this unclassified non-coding RNA (260 nucleotides) under Glomeraceae sp. Its description in RNAcentral is "partial contains 5.8S ribosomal RNA and internal transcribed spacer 2". The stretch from base 1 to 72 matches the Rfam family "5.8S ribosomal RNA", at positions 84 to 154 of the family's 154-position model. Lineage: Eukaryota; Fungi; Glomeromycota; Glomeromycetes; Glomerales; Glomeraceae. The record is from RNAcentral.
GUGAAUCAUCAAAUCUUUGAACGCAAAUUGCACUCUCCGGUUUUCCGGGAGAGUAUGCCUGUUUGAGGGUCAGCCUAAAAAAAAUCGACAUUGUUGCUGUUAUUUAAUGGUGACUUUCGUCGGAGAUUGGAUUAUCUUAAACCUUUUUUUUUUUUUUUGUUUUAAGGGAUUUAAAAUUUUUUUUCCCUUUUCCAUGAACGUUUUUAAAAUUUUUUUUUUUUUUACUUUUAAGGUUUUUCGAUUUUUUUUUAAAUGUUCCG